This 156-nucleotide unclassified non-coding RNA is filed under the name fungal sp. RNAcentral's name for it is "partial internal transcribed spacer region". The stretch from base 1 to 46 matches the Rfam family "Eukaryotic small subunit ribosomal RNA", at positions 1786 to 1831 of the family's 1831-position model. The record is from RNAcentral. Lineage: Eukaryota; Fungi.
AAGUCGUAACAAGGUUUCCGUAGGUGAACCUGCGGAAGGAUCAUUUAUAUAUAUCUUUUUUUAUGAAUAAUUGUCUUUAUUAAAACUGCCUUUUGAUUUAUUGAAUGUAAACUUUUAAAAAUUUAAAACUUGCAACAACGGAUCUCUUGGCUCUCC